Molecule: ribosomal RNA, 444 nt
Filed under: Triticum aestivum (bread wheat)
Lineage: Eukaryota; Viridiplantae; Streptophyta; Magnoliopsida; Poales; Poaceae
Description: partial small subunit ribosomal RNA
Source: RNAcentral
AUGUGGUUACAGAGGAUGUUUGGUUCAUACCCUUUUGUGAUUAUUUGUUUCUUAUAUCAGUUAAUUAAUUUACAUGAAAGAUGCCAAGAACAUGUAGCAGUAGAGCAAGAACAUGAAAGUUCGGCCUCCUCCAUUUUGUCGAUCCAUGAAUCCAUGUCAAGAACACGUCGCAGCACUUAUCUUCCCUCCCUUCGCCCAAUCUCCAAUGGCAAUGGCAAUGGCAUGUCAGAAUCCAUGGGUUGGCUCCGGAGAAGCUCGGUCAUGGGGGAGAGAGGAGGAGGACUGCGACUUGGCGAGCUCCUGCUCCGUGUCAGCCAGCUAGCUGAUGGGUUUGUCUUGUCUGGCUCGUUGGCAGCUGCCGGGAAGUGGUGGAGCGGUUUCGUCAGCCGAUCGAUGUGUUGGUUGAUCGUUCGGCCAGCGGAAAAGAAAUCAAAGUUUGGCUGA